Molecule: long non-coding RNA, 434 nt
Organism: Polyodon spathula (Mississippi paddlefish)
Lineage: Eukaryota; Metazoa; Chordata; Actinopteri; Acipenseriformes; Polyodontidae
Exons: 5
Source: RefSeq, a predicted model, not a curated record
GGUUCUCUAUGUUCUGUUUUAGCCACUAGUUUGCCAGCAACCAAAUGAAGCAGCAGCUGGUGAAAAUGUCACUUUUGCAGCACAGUUACAAUCCAAUGAAAUCCCAACAAGUCAUCUUGCCAAUUUUCUUUCUACACUAGAGCACAGAAAAGGUCAACCAAGACAACUGAAGCAUGAGGCAAAUGAGAAAAUAUGAAGUUCGUAAUCUGAAAGGGGCCGGCAUGCUGUACAGCCAUAAAAGUUGCAACUGCUAACUCAGUAGUGUAAUUCACUGACUGGAAAGCAUGACAGCCAUAAUGACUGGACAUAUCUCGUCUGGGGAUAAGUCUCCAGGUGAAAAGACCAAGGAACUAAAAGGCUACCUAAUAGUAAGGUUGUUAAAACCAAAACCAGUAUCUGAACUGAAGAAAAGCUGCGCUGACACUUUAUAACAC